ACUCUGCCAGUUGACUCUGCCUGA
This 24-nucleotide unclassified non-coding RNA is filed under the name Mus musculus (house mouse). RNAcentral describes it as "oocyte_clustered_small_RNA1858". Lineage: Eukaryota; Metazoa; Chordata; Mammalia; Rodentia; Muridae. The record is from RNAcentral.